RNAcentral lists this ribosomal RNA (466 nucleotides) under uncultured bacterium. RNAcentral describes it as "partial 16S ribosomal RNA". It matches the Rfam family "Bacterial small subunit ribosomal RNA", at positions 28 to 507 of the family's 1533-position model. The record is from RNAcentral.
GACGAACGCUGGCGGCGCGCCUAACACAUGCAAGUCGAACGAGCGAGAGAGAGCUUGCUUUCUCGAGCGAGUGGCGAACGGGUGAGUAACGCGUGAGGAACCUGCCUCAAAGAGGGGGACAACAGUUGGAAACGACUGCUAAUACCGCAUAAGCCCACGGCUCGGCAUCGAGCAGGGGGAAAAGGAGCAAUCCGCUUUGAGAUGGCCUCGCGUCCGAUUAGCUAGUUGGUGAGGUAACGGCCCACCAAGGCGACGAUCGGUAGCCGGACUGAGAGGCUGAACGGCCACAUUGGGACUGAGACACGGCCCAGACUCCUACGGGAGGCAGCAGUGGGGAAUAUUGCACAAUGGGGGAAACCCUGAUGCAGCGACGCCGCGUGGAGGAAGAAGGUCUUCGGAUUGUAAACUCCUGUUGUUGGGGAAGAUAAUGACGGUACCCAACAAGGAAGUGACGGCUAACUACGUG